GCGGCGCCCGGCCCGGCCCGGGGCCCCCGCGGCGGAGGGGGAGCAGCUCUCCCGGGCCUGACAGCCCCGGCCGUGCGGACGGCCGGCCCAGGGAGGGAGUGCAGAGAAGGGCGCGAGAGGAGAAGGUCGAAACGAAGCCCAGACCCCAGGAAGUGACUGCGUCGGGGGAAGGGAGGGCUUCCUUCCCAGGGAAAAGGGGACAGAGGAGGAAUGCACUUGGCGUCCGCGCCGCCCCGGCCGAGGAGCCGCCCCCGCUCCGGACACUGCGCUCCAACCAGGAGGAGCAGGAGGAGGAGGAGGAUGAACAAAAUGGCCACCGCCACCAGCCAGGCAGGAAACGGGGCAGAGCGCAGGCGCGGCCCGCCAGGUCACCGCUCAGGCCAGCCGCGACGGCCUGUAAAGGGAAUCACCGAGUGGGGAGCAAAACAGGCCGCUAAGGAAACCCUGCGCCCAGUCCCGACGAAUCACGACGUCCGCUCCGUGCCUGCCGGCCGGCUGAACCCCACCAGCCCGAGGAGAGAUCGAGUAAAAAAGGGAACCGCCGGGAAGCUGAAGGUUCUGGGAAUUGUGGUCCUGGAAAGGAGAGAGGGAAGCGCUUCUCCAGGGGACUUCUGGGAACUGUAGUCCGCGGGAGACUGCCGGCGCCCCCGGCGCGCUGGGUCGCGAAGAAGAGACUUCUGGGUAGUGUAGUCGUACGUGAGGGCGUGCGGCGACCAGGAAGUUGGCGUGCUGGAAGGAGAGGGAGAGCAUAGAAGCGACGUUGAAAGGCAGCGGGGGACGGGAUGGGAAUUAAAAGCGCUGACCGGGAAGUAAACUACGAGUCCCAGAGUGCCUCGCUCUGGGGGGCUGUCUUGGACCGCUCGCCGCAUUGUAGGGCUCUCCAGUUGGCUCAGCCUGUGCUACCGCUCCGCCCUCGUCCAGCCUGAGAGCGGGUUCUUCAAGUGCGGCUGAAGCUGCGCUGUGGCUCCGCGUGGUGUCGGAGUCCGCCGGCCUUGGCGAGCUGUUCUCUGUGCAUCCAAACAGCCGACGGGGGGUCGUCAGUCGCCCCCCCCCCCCCGUCCCCGCGCGGCGGGCUGGAGGGGCUGUGGCCGACGUCGGGUCCAGGCUGAGCCGGGAGCUGCGCUCGCUGGGUCCCCACGGGCUUCCUAAGGUCUGGCCUUGUCUUUGGGGCGUGUUUUCCCGCGGAUAGGUAUUCCUGGUCUAGGUAGGCUGCGGAGAUUGCUUUAGAAGUUUCAAAGGUUUCCCCAUCCGUUAUCGCGGCGGGUAAUGUGGUGAGCGGAGCAGCCCUCCACUAAAGUGACUCAUCGGGUCAGUGUAAGGCGCAGUGCUGAUGCCCCCGAAUAUCCCUUGUUGACUUCUUGGAGUGGGGAAAAGGAAAAAAAAAAAAAAAAAAAAGAACGUUCGGGCAGAGACGUGCACAGACUUAAGGUCGUGUUGGCAGACAUCCAUCAUGCAGACGGGAAACGAAGCCUUGCUUGAGAAAGGAGGCAGCUAUUUUCCAAAGUGCUCCCCUAGCCCCGUAGGAUUUUUUUUUUCUUUCUUUCUUUUUUUUUUUUGCAACAGGUCACGGUGCGCUUCCAUCCCCUCCCCACCCCCACCUCCACCCCCCCAGCAUCUUCGGGAGAAUGUUACUGAGUGUGAAUCACAAUGUUACUGUGAAGGGCGGUGAUCAAGAUUUUUCCAGCCUGUUGCCCGAGCUCAGGGGUCCCAGCUGUAAAGAGUGGGCUCUGCGGGCCUGUGCGGAGGGGGAGGGGGAUUUGAACCUGGAAAGCUUCAGAUUCCCCCUAGCGGGGGCGGUGAACCCCUUAACAGCCAGUGGGAAUUGCAAAAGGGUGCAGAGACCAGGAUCUAAGGUUUAUAUAUAUACAUAUAUAUAUAUACAUAUAUAUAUAUGUAUAUAUAUAUAUUGUUACUUGGGGAGGGAGAAGAAAGGAAGGUGUGGGUGGAGUGGGGGGUCUUGAGAGCUCGGAGAGGUGGGCUCUAUGGAAUUGUGUUGUGGAGGAUUUGUACCAGGCCGAGGAUUUGAGCUUUGUCUUUGAAACAGUGAGGAGUUAUUCAAGGGUGUUUGUUGGCCUGCUUUAUUUUUUUUGUUUUUUAAGGUUUUAUUUAUUUAUUUAUUCAUGAGAGACACAGAGAGAGAGGGAGGCAGAGACACAGGCAGAGGGAGAAGCAGGCUCCAUGCAGGGAGCCCGACGUGGGACUCCAGGAUCAAGCCCUGGGCGGCAGGCAGGCCCUAAACCGCCAAGCCCCCCGGGCUGCCCUGUUGGCCUGCUUUUAUUGGACCUAGUAUUGGGCCAGUUUUAUCAUAAUGCAAUUAGUCAUUUUUUAAAUUUUUUUUAUUUAUUUAUGAUAGUCACAUUAUGAUAGAGAGAGAGAGAGAGAGGCAGAGACAUAGGCAGAGGGAGAGGGAGAAGCAGGCUCCAUGCACCGGGAGCCGGUCGUGGGAUUCCAUCCCGGGUCUCCAGGAUCAUGCCCUGGGCCAAAGGGAGGCGGUAAACCGCUCCGCCACCCAGGGAUCCCUGCAAUUAGUCAUUGAUCCAUGCCUGGCCCACUGUAUUAAUUCCCUGUUACUGCUGUAAUAAACUUAAUGCCUUAAAAUAA
Canis lupus familiaris (dog) is the source of this 2601-nucleotide long non-coding RNA. RefSeq lists it as uncharacterized. The transcript is spliced from 2 exons. The record is from RefSeq and is a predicted model, not a curated record. Lineage: Eukaryota; Metazoa; Chordata; Mammalia; Carnivora; Canidae.